This 87-nucleotide transfer RNA is filed under the name bacterium. RNAcentral's name for it is "tRNA-Leu". It matches the Rfam family "tRNA". From Rfam's summary of the family: Transfer RNA (tRNA) molecules are approximately 80 nucleotides in length. Their secondary structure includes four short double-helical elements and three loops (D, anti-codon, and T loops). The record is from RNAcentral.
GCGUGAGUGGCGGAAUUGGUAGACGCGCUUGGCUUAGGACCAAGUGGGGUUAAACCCGUGGAGGUUCAAGUCCUCUCUCACGCACAA